AACGGAUUGCAUACUUGGGAAA
RNAcentral lists this microRNA (22 nucleotides) under Drosophila mojavensis. RNAcentral's name for it is "Dmo-Mir-9707_3p* (star (passenger))". The record is from RNAcentral. Lineage: Eukaryota; Metazoa; Arthropoda; Insecta; Diptera; Drosophilidae.